Molecule: ribosomal RNA, 254 nt
Filed under: uncultured bacterium
Lineage: Bacteria
Description: partial 16S ribosomal RNA
Rfam family: Bacterial small subunit ribosomal RNA
Source: RNAcentral
UACGUAGGGGGCUAGCGUUGUCCGGAAUCAUUGGGCGUAAAGAGCGCGUAGGCGGCUAGAUAAGUCCGGUGUGAAAGUCACAGGCUCAACCUGUGAAUGCCGCUGGAAACUGUCUGGCUAGAGUCCGGAAGGGGCGAGUGGAAUUCCUGGUGUAGCGGUGAAAUGCGCAGAUAUCAGGAGGAACACCAAUGGCGAAAGCAGCUCGCUGGGACGGUACUGACGCUGAGGCGCGAAAGCGUGGGGAGCAAACAGGA